AGGUGGUCAACCUUAGGCAUAGUAAAAAUUUACAUACUGAGCAGUCAGGUGUGUGGCGUGCACCUAUAAGCCAGGCUAUUCGGGAGGUUAAGGCUGGAGGAUCACUUGAGCCCACGAGUUUGAGGCUACGGUGAACUAUGAUCAUACCACUGCACUCCAGCCUGGGUGAUAACGUGGGACCCUGUCUCUUUUUUAAGGAAAAUAAAAGAAUGUACACAUUGAUAUAAAUUUUCAUCUACCAGAAUGGCCAGAAUCCAACA
This 260-nucleotide long non-coding RNA is filed under the name Homo sapiens (human). RNAcentral's name for it is "HSALNT0024505". Lineage: Eukaryota; Metazoa; Chordata; Mammalia; Primates; Hominidae. The record is from RNAcentral.